RNAcentral lists this unclassified non-coding RNA (926 nucleotides) under Dermacentor andersoni. RNAcentral describes it as "mediator of RNA polymerase II transcription subunit 7-like". Lineage: Eukaryota; Metazoa; Arthropoda; Arachnida; Ixodida; Ixodidae. The record is from RNAcentral.
GUUUACGACGCCGAGUUGGCCGUGUGUUCGUUCUUGUCGAAUUUCUGUGAUGUGUCAUUUGAGAUCGUGCAAAGUAAGCUAAAGGGAGCCUACAGUUUCUGCCCUUGAAGCAGCCAUGGGGGAGGCAACACAAGUCAGCUCGCUGCCGCUGCCGCCGAUGCAGUAUGUUAGCCUCUACACAGACGAAAACGUGCAGCGUGGACGAGCUCCGUCACCACCUAGGCCACUGCAUGAAGGCUACUCCAUGUUUGGUGCUCCAUUCCAUGGGGAUGAACCUGUCAUUCGCCCUUUGGAAAGCCAAGGUAUACGGAGACUAUACCCACAAAACUAUGAGCACAAGAAAGAGCUGAAGAAGCUCAACCACUCACUGCUUGUCAACUUCCUUGACAUGGUUGACAUCUUGAUACGGUGUCCUGAUACUUCCAAGCGGCUGGAGAAGAAAGAUGACAUGAGCUUACUUUUCAUCCACAUGCACCACCUGAUCAACGAGUACAGGCCCCAUCAAGCUAGGGAGACACUCCGAGUGAUGCUUGACAUGCAGAGGCGGCAGCGGCUAGACACAGCGCAUAGAUUCCACAAGCACUUGGACAAGUUGACUGGACUGGACCCAGGGGAGAUGAGCGGAAAAACAACAGCUCACUCGCUGCACUGUGGGCCGCACCGUUGCCGAUGCUGCCAGAGUGCCCCGGAACCCAGUCCACUCACACGCCCAUGCUGUAAUCCCGAUAAAGGGAUGUGCAUGCGACCUUAAUAUCAUGCGCCCACGUGCCGACUCUAGGCAUCCCCCUUGGCCCACUGGGUGUGUGCCACGCGGGAUGUGCCCGAAUACAGUACGCGAAAUCCUACAGAACACAGUGAGUGUUCUCCCUGAACCAGAGCCAACUACCACCUGGCAACAGCCAGUUCAGGCCACAGGUACAACUGGA